Non-coding RNA from Megalobrama amblycephala (Wuchang bream), 987 nucleotides. The record is from the annotation of a RefSeq genome assembly. NCBI's taxonomy places the organism in Eukaryota, Metazoa, Chordata, Actinopteri, Cypriniformes, Xenocyprididae.
AUGGCACUGUUUCAGUUAUGCAAUACUUGCAGUUAACCAUAAGAGGGCAGUAGUUACUCAAUAUUUCCUUUGACAAUACUGAAGCUUUAUUGGGUAUCCACAAGCUCCUCCUUGGAUCAUCAUUAUUAUAAUACUAAAAGUAAAUUUCUCCCACUGCUGAUUUAUCUGAACUUCAAGGUUUAUUCAGCAGUCAUGUCACACAAGUUGAGGAAUAUAUUUCUCUUCACACUCUUCAUUCUUGAGUGCAGAUCAGAGGACACAGUUGAUCAGCCAGACAAACAUGUGACUGAAGCUGAAGGAAGAUCAGUGACAUUACAGUGUAAAUAUAAAACAGAUUCAACAGGAGAAUAUUUAUUCUGGUACAUCCAGAGAGCAAAUGACUUUCCUAAAUACAUCCUGAGGAGAAGCAAAUAUGGAGGAGAAAAUGGCACUGAGUUCCAGGAGAGAUUUCACUCUGAACUUUCAUCAAAUUCAGUUCCUCUGAAGAUCAAGGAUCUGCGUGUGUCUGACUCUGCUGUGUAUUACUGUGCUCUGAGGCACAUCUUUGGCAAUAUAAAGAUGAAUCACAUUAAAACCAAUAUUGUCUUACUGUAGUUGACAAAUCGAUUUGAUAAAUAAAAAGAAACUGGCAAAUGUAACAAAAGUUAAAAUAUCUCAAAUGAUUCUCAUGUAUUAUAAAGCACACACAUUCAAACUGAGCUGUUGCUUGUUCUAAAUUAUGGUUAUACAAGUUAGCUAAAUAUAUAUAACUAUAAAGUAAAUAUUCUUCAUAUUUCCAUCAGUUAAUAUUUUCAUGAGAAAUGAGAGGAAAUUACUCUGAAAAAUGCAAAGACAUCUAGUAUUUAAGCCACACCUUUAUAAAGCAGGAAGUUCCUGUGUGUGUUUGUGACUGAUCUGCAGUGACUUACAGCUCAAGCACUGAGAGCCUCAACAGAGAACUGAUCUGAUCUGAUUCAACAUGGACACAUGCUUCAUACUGAUUCUCAU